This 492-nucleotide ribosomal RNA is filed under the name uncultured bacterium. RNAcentral's name for it is "partial 16S ribosomal RNA". It matches the Rfam family "Bacterial small subunit ribosomal RNA", at positions 29 to 507 of the family's 1533-position model. The record is from RNAcentral.
AGUGAACGCUGGCGGUAGGCCUAACACAUGCAAGUCGAACGGCAGCACAGUAAGAGUUUGCUCUUACGGGUGGCGAGUGGCGGACGGGUGAGGAAUACAUCGGAAUCUACUUUUUCGUGGGGGAUAACGGAGGGAAAGUGACGCUAAUACAGCAUACGACCUACGGGUGAAAGCAGGGGAGAUUCGGACCUUGCGCGAUCGAAUGAGCCGAUGUCGGAUUAGCUAGUUGGCGGGGUAAAGGCCCACCAAGGCGACGAUCCGUAGCUGAUCUGAGAGGAUGAUGAGCCACACUGGACCUAGAAACCGCUCCAGACUCCAACGGGAGGAAGCAGAGGGAAAUAUUCGACAAAGGGCGCAAGCCUGAUCCAGCCCUCCCGCGUGGGUGAAAAAGGCCUUCGGGUUUUAAGGCCCUUUUGUUGGGAAAGAAAAGCAGCAGGUUAAUACCCCGCUAUUCUGACGGUACCCAACGAAUAAGCACCGGCUAACUACGUG